GACGAACGCUGGCGGCGUGCUUAACACAUGCAAGUCGAACGGUGAAGCUCCAGCUUGCUGGCGUGGAUCAGUGGCGAACGGGUGAGUAACACGUGAGCAACCUGCCCCUGACUCUGGAAUAAGCGCUGGAAACGGCGUCUAAUACUGGAUACGAGAAGGGCCCGCAUGGGCACUUUCUGGACAUUUUUUCGGUUGGGGAUGGGCGCGCGGCCUAUCAGCUUGCUGGUGAGGUAGUGGCUCACCAAGGCGACGACGGGUAGCCGGCCUGAGAGGGCGAACGGCCACCCUGGUCCUGCGAGACGGACCAGACGCCUACGGGAGGCAGCGGUGGGGAAUCUUGCACAGUGGGCGCAAGCCUGAUGCAGCGACGCCGCGUGAGGGAUGACGGCCUUCGGGUUGUAAACCUCUGUCAGCAGGGAAGAAGCGAUAGUGACGGUACCUGCAGAAGAAGCACCGGCUAACUACGUG
Molecule: ribosomal RNA, 468 nt
Filed under: uncultured bacterium
Lineage: Bacteria
Description: partial 16S ribosomal RNA
Rfam family: Bacterial small subunit ribosomal RNA
Source: RNAcentral